GACGAACGCUGGCGGCGUGCUUAACACAUGCAAGUCGAACGGAAAGGCCUCUUUCGGGGGGUACUCGAGUGGCGAACGGGUGAGUAACACGUGAGUAACCUGCCCUUGACUUUGGGAUAACUUCAGGAAACUGGGGCUAAUACCGGAUAGGAGCUCCUGCUGCAUGGUGGGGGUUGGAAAGUUUCGGCGGUUGGGGAUGGACUCGCGGCUUAUCAGCUUGUUGGUGGGGUAGUGGCUUACCAAGGCUUUGACGGGUAGCCGGCCUGAGAGGGUGACCGGCCACAUUGGGACUGAGAUACGGCCCAGACUCCUACGGGAGGCAGCAGGGGGGAAUAUUGCACAAUGGGUGGAAGCCUGAUGCAGCAACGCCGUGUGCGGGAGGACGGCCUUCGGGUUGUAAACCGCUUUCGCUCAUGACGAAGCUUUGUGUGACGGUAGUGGGUAAAGAAGCACCGGCUAACUACGUG
This 467-nucleotide ribosomal RNA is filed under the name uncultured bacterium. Its description in RNAcentral is "partial 16S ribosomal RNA". It matches the Rfam family "Bacterial small subunit ribosomal RNA", at positions 28 to 507 of the family's 1533-position model. The record is from RNAcentral.